AUCAGGGAUCCGGAGAGUUAAAUGUCGCCCUUGGGAAGCCGGCGUUUCAGACCAGCACCUGGUCCGGGGAUACAGAGGCAAGCCGUGCCGUGGACGGGAACACCGCACACACCUGUUCACACACCGCAGGUUACCCGGGGGAGGAUAACCCCACCUGGUGGGUGGAUCUCGGCCAGUCGUAUGUGGUUGAAAGGGUGGUCAUCUUUAACCGUCAGGAUGAAUUUCAAGAACGACUCAACCCCUUCAACAUCCACAUCGGGGAUUCCGACCAGGUCAGCACCAACCCCCAGUGUAGAGGUGACCAUCAGAUCGGCCUGACCGAGCCGUCCAUUUCCGUCUC
Long non-coding RNA from Branchiostoma floridae (Florida lancelet), 340 nucleotides. RefSeq lists it as uncharacterized. The record is from RefSeq and is a predicted model, not a curated record. The transcript has 3 exons. NCBI's taxonomy places the organism in Eukaryota, Metazoa, Chordata, Leptocardii, Amphioxiformes, Branchiostomatidae.